GAUGAAGAACGUAGCGAAAUGCGAUAAGUAGUGUGAAUUGCAGAAUUCAGUGAAUCAUCGAAUCUUUGAACGCACAUUGCGCCCCUUGGUAUCCCGAGGGGCAUGCCUGUUCGAGCGUCAUUUCACCACUCAAGCCUGGCUUGGUGUUGGGCGACGUCCCCUUCGGGGACGCGCCUCGAAACGCUCGGCGGCGUGGCACCGGCUUUAAGCGUAGCAGAAUCUUUCGCUUUGGAAGUCGGGGCCCCGUCUGCCGGAAGACCUACUCGCAAGGUUGACCUCGGAUCAGGCAGGGAUACCCGCUGAACUUAAGCAUAUCAAUAAGCGGAGGA
This 329-nucleotide unclassified non-coding RNA is filed under the name soil metagenome. Its description in RNAcentral is "partial contains 5.8S ribosomal RNA, internal transcribed spacer 2, and large subunit ribosomal RNA". The stretch from base 1 to 120 matches the Rfam family "5.8S ribosomal RNA", at positions 35 to 154 of the family's 154-position model. The record is from RNAcentral.